This 741-nucleotide ribosomal RNA is filed under the name Nocardiopsis sp. 1WS5_07. RNAcentral's name for it is "bacterial SSU rRNA". It matches the Rfam family "Bacterial small subunit ribosomal RNA", at positions 81 to 820 of the family's 1533-position model. The record is from RNAcentral. Lineage: Bacteria; Bacillati; Actinomycetota; Actinomycetes; Streptosporangiales; Nocardiopsidaceae.
UUCGGGGUACACGAGCGGCGAACGGGUGAGUAACACGUGAGCAACCUGCCCCUGACUCUGGGAUAAGCGGUGGAAACGCCGUCUAAUACCGGAUACGACCUUCCGCCUCAUGGUGGAGGGUGGAAAGUUUUUUCGGUCAGGGAUGGGCUCGCGGCCUAUCAGCUUGUUGGUGGGGUAACGGCCUACCAAGGCGAUUACGGGUAGCCGGCCUGAGAGGGCGACCGGCCACACUGGGACUGAGACACGGCCCAGACUCCUGCGGGAGGCAGCAGUGGGGAAUAUUGCGCAAUGGGCGAAAGCCUGACGCAGCGACGCCGCGUGGGGGAUGACGGCCUUCGGGUUGUAAACCUCUUUUACCACCAACGCAGGCUCCGGGUUCUCUCGGGGUUGACGGUAGGUGGGGAAUAAGGACCGGCUAACUACGUGCCAGCAGCCGCGGUAAUACGUAGGGUCCGAGCGUUGUCCGGAAUUAUUGGGCGUAAAGAGCUCGUAGGCGGCGUGUCGCGUCUGCUGUGAAAGACCGGGGCUUAACUCCGGUUCUGCAGUGGAUACGGGCAUGCUAGAGGUAGGUAGGGGGAGACUGGGAAUUCCUGGUGUAGCCGGUGAAAUGCGCAGAUAUCAGGAGGAACACCGGUGGCGAAGGCGGGUCUCUGGGCCUUACCUGACGCUGAGGAGCGAAGCAUGGGGAGCGAACAGGAUUAGAUACCCCUGGUAGUCCAUGCCGUAAACGUUGGCGCUAGG